Molecule: ribosomal RNA, 546 nt
Filed under: uncultured Glomeromycotina
Lineage: Eukaryota; Fungi; Glomeromycota
Description: SSU rRNA
Rfam family: Eukaryotic small subunit ribosomal RNA
Source: RNAcentral
UUGGAGGGCAAGUCUGGUGCCAGCAGCCGCGGUAAUUCCAGCUCCAAUAGCGUAUAUUAAAGUUGUUGCAGUUAAAAAGCUCGUAGUUGAAUUUCGGGAUCAGUUCGUUGGUCGUGCCUUAGGUACGUACUGGUGUUACUGGUUUCUACCUUCUGACGAACCAUCAUGUCAUUAAUUUGGUGUGGUGGGGAAUCAGGACUGUUACUUUGAAAAAAUUAGAGUGUUUAAAGCAGGCUCGCGCUUGAAUACAUUAGCAUGGAAUAAUGAAAUAGGACGUUGAUCCUAUUUUGUUGGUUUCUAGGAUUGACGUAAUGAUUAAUAGGGAUAGUUGGGGGCAUUAGUAUUCAAUUGUCAGAGGUGAAAUUCUUGGAUUUAUUGAAGACUAACUACUGCGAAAGCAUUUGCCAAGGAUGUUUUCAUUAAUCAAGAACGAAAGUUAGGGGAUCGAAGACGAUCAGAUGCCGUCGUAGUCUUAACCAUAAACUAUGCCGACUAGGGAUCGGAUGAUGUUAUUUUUAAUGACUCAUUCGGCGCCUUACGGGAAAC